GGGAGGUAGUGACAAUAAAUAACAAUACGGGGUUCUAAAGGAUUUCGUAAUUGGAAUGAGUACAAUUUAAAUCUCUUAACGAUGAACAAUUGGAGGGCAAGUCUGGUGCCAGCAGCCGCGGUAAUUCCAGCUCAAUAGCGUAUAUUAAAGUUGUUGCAGUUAAAAGCUCGUAGUUGAAUUUCGGGGUUAGUAGGUUGGUCAUGCCUCUGGUAUGUACUGAUCUCACUGAUUCCUCCCUCUUGACGAGCUGUAAUGUCGUUAAUUUGGUGUUGCGGGAAAUUUGGACUGUUACUUUGAAAAAUUAGAGUGUUUAAAGCAAGCUAACGCUUGAAUACAUUAGCAUGGAAUAAUGAAAUAGGACGUUCGAUCCUAUUUUGUUGGUUUCUAGGAUUGACGUAAUGAUUAAUAGGGAUAGUUGGG
RNAcentral lists this ribosomal RNA (420 nucleotides) under uncultured Glomeraceae. RNAcentral describes it as "SSU rRNA". It matches the Rfam family "Eukaryotic small subunit ribosomal RNA", at positions 459 to 886 of the family's 1831-position model. Lineage: Eukaryota; Fungi; Glomeromycota; Glomeromycetes; Glomerales; Glomeraceae. The record is from RNAcentral.